UCCCCAGUGGCUCAGACAGUAAAGCGUCUGUCUUCGACACAGGAGACCUGGGUUCAAUCCCUGGGUUGGGAA
Molecule: transfer RNA, 72 nt
Filed under: Ovis aries (sheep)
Lineage: Eukaryota; Metazoa; Chordata; Mammalia; Artiodactyla; Bovidae
Rfam family: tRNA
About the family: Transfer RNA (tRNA) molecules are approximately 80 nucleotides in length. Their secondary structure includes four short double-helical elements and three loops (D, anti-codon, and T loops). Further hydrogen bonds mediate the characteristic L-shaped molecular structure. tRNAs have two regions of fundamental functional importance: the anti-codon, which is responsible for specific mRNA codon recognition, and the 3' end, to which the tRNAs corresponding amino acid is attached (by aminoacyl-tRNA synthetases). tRNAs cope with the degeneracy of the genetic code in two manners: having more than one tRNA (with a specific anti-codon) for a particular amino acid; and 'wobble' base-pairing, i.e. permitting non-standard base-pairing at the 3rd anti-codon position.
Source: Rfam by way of RNAcentral